UACAGAGGGUGCGAGCGUUAAUCGGAAUUACUGGGCGUAAAGCGUGCGUAGACGGUUCUGUAAGUCGGAUGUGAAAUCCCCGGGCUCAACCUGGGAAUUGCAUUCGAAACUGCAUAGCUAGGGUGCGGAAGAGGGAAGCGGAAUUUCCGGUGUAGCGGUGAAAUGCGUAGAUAUCGGAAGGAACAUCAGUGGCGAAGGCGGCUUCCUGGUCCAGCACCGACGUUCAGGCACGAAAGCGUGGGGAGCAAACAG
This 252-nucleotide ribosomal RNA is filed under the name uncultured bacterium. RNAcentral describes it as "partial 16S ribosomal RNA". It matches the Rfam family "Bacterial small subunit ribosomal RNA", at positions 524 to 775 of the family's 1533-position model. The record is from RNAcentral.